CUAACUUUCUCUCUCCCCUUCAUCAUAUCGCAUAAACUUUCUUUAAUAAACUUCUCUCACACAUACAAACACACACAGUCCAGAUCUAGAUCUACGAGGCAGUUGAUAAUUAUUUUUUCUUCCAGCAAGAAUCCUCGAACCACAUGGGGGCCAACACACAUAUAAAUUACACAUUGCAAUUCAUACCCUCAUAGCCAUCUCCUGAUUAUCACAAAACCCUGUUUUCCGAUUAUCACCAUCUCCGGUAAUACCUCACCCACCAUUCACCGUGAACCCACAACCAACUACCGCCGACACCUUCGAUUCACCUCCGGCGACUUCCGAGCGACCAUUCACCAUCCCCGAUUAACAUCAAGUUUCAAAGCUUUUUUUAGUUUUCAGCAUUAAGUGAAUCAGAAUCAUGUCACGCUACCAUGAAGAUGAUGAAUAUGUGGCAGAUGAAUAUGAAAUGGAAGAUUUAGAUGAUAAUAUGGAUUAUGAGACUAAUGACAGAGAUAUUGGUUCAGACUUUGAUGGGGAUGAGUACGAGUACAUGGUUGGAUGGAUUUAUGGUUCACUUACAGAGGAUAUCCUUACGGGCUUCAAGAUGCAUUGCCACGGUCGGGUUUAUCAGUAUAUUAUGUUCCGAAGAGGGUUGCAUCAAGGUUUCUGCUCCCAUUAAUCUUUCGGAUUGUCUUCACCAAGUUCUUAGGAGGGCUGAGUUUUUUGUUCAAUUUUUUGAUGUUACACAUGUGUAUUCUGAUUUUGCUCUGUUUUAGUGUGAUGUACAUGUGUAUUUUGAUUUUGCCCUCUUUUUAAUGCGAUGUGUACAUGUGUAUUGAAUGUUGAUGUACACCUGUGAAUUACUGUACACAUAUGUACGAUGCUGAGUACACAUGUGUACUGUUCUAUUU
Helianthus annuus (common sunflower) is the source of this 893-nucleotide long non-coding RNA. RefSeq lists it as uncharacterized. The transcript has 3 exons. The record is from RefSeq and is a predicted model, not a curated record. Lineage: Eukaryota; Viridiplantae; Streptophyta; Magnoliopsida; Asterales; Asteraceae.